Molecule: ribosomal RNA, 497 nt
Filed under: uncultured bacterium
Lineage: Bacteria
Description: partial 16S ribosomal RNA
Rfam family: Bacterial small subunit ribosomal RNA
Source: RNAcentral
GAUGAACGCUGGCGGCGUGCCUAAUACAUGCAAGUCGAGCGAACAGACGAGGAGCUUGCUCCUUCGACGUUAGCGGCGGACGGGUGAGUAACACGUAGGUAACCUACCUAUAAGACUGGGAUAACUUCGGGAAACCGGAUCUAAUACCGGAUAAUAUUUCGAACCGCAUGGUUCGAUAGUGAAAGAUGGCUUUGCUAUCACUUAUAGAUGGACCUGCGCCGUAUUAGCUAGUUGGUAAGGUAACGGCUUACCAAGGCAACGAUACGUAGCCGACCUGAGAGGGUGAUCGGCCACACUGGAACUGAGACACGGUCCAGACUCCUACGGGAGGCAGCAGUAGGGAAUCUUCCGCAAUGGGCGAAAGCCUGACGGAGCAACGCCGCGUGAGUGAUGAAGGUCUUCGGAGCGUAAAACUCUGUUAUUAGGGAAGAACAAACGUGUAAGUAACUGUGCACGUCUUGACGGUACCUAAUCAGAAAGCCACGGCUAACUACGUG